This 657-nucleotide ribosomal RNA is filed under the name Triticum aestivum (bread wheat). Its description in RNAcentral is "partial small subunit ribosomal RNA". Lineage: Eukaryota; Viridiplantae; Streptophyta; Magnoliopsida; Poales; Poaceae. The record is from RNAcentral.
AUGGUUAUAAUAGGAGGAGAUGCGGGUGGCAAUGAAGGAGAUCGUUCUGGAAGUCAACCUCUUCACCGGAACUCGAAGCGUCCUGCUAAUCGCCAGCCACGACCUGCGCAGAGUGUUGAGCAGGGAGAGGAUGUUGAGGAUGCUGAUCAGUUCCGUGUUGUAAAGCGGACUAGACGUGCAGCACUUGGCAAGGGAGCUGAGUCAUCUUCUAGGGCCGCAGUUGCUGGAGAAGCUGUCGCAUCUUCCACAGCAGAUGCUGAGGGCAGCGGUGAAGGAGUUGAGGUGUCUCCAGGGGAAGAUGUGGAGCGACCAUCACAAGCAGGCAGGAUAAGGGCAUCACCAGCGCGCUUUGCAAAUUUCAACGCCUCUCUAACUCCACUACAGAAAUCAGAGCUAGUUUCGAGGUCGGUCGGGGGGCUAUUGAACUUAUCAGACACACUUCCAGCGGACCUCACUAAGUUCCUGGUGCAGUCCUACCAGCCACAGACCUCUGAAAUGGUUUUCCCAGGAAGGGGAAGGAUCCGUGUCGAUGCUGACAGUGUUCAGAGGGUAUUUGAUCUCCCAAACAAGGGUCCAAAAGUCAGAUAUUUAGUUGACAAGGAUGCCACUAGGAGAUUCAGACAGGCUUUCAAUAUAACUGGAAAUUCUCAUCCCUAG